ACCAGGAUGGCCGAGUGGUUAAGGCGUUGGACUUAAGAUCCAAUGGGCAUGUAAGCCCUCGUGGGUUCAAACCCCACUCCUGGUA
Molecule: non-coding RNA, 85 nt
Organism: Centropristis striata (black sea bass)
Lineage: Eukaryota; Metazoa; Chordata; Actinopteri; Perciformes; Serranidae
Source: the annotation of a RefSeq genome assembly